Molecule: long non-coding RNA, 1097 nt
Filed under: Cricetulus griseus (Chinese hamster)
Lineage: Eukaryota; Metazoa; Chordata; Mammalia; Rodentia; Cricetidae
Description: lncRNA (ENSCGRG00015037667.1)
Source: RNAcentral
CUUCAGAGCCCUGAAAACUGUGGGUGGUGCCUCAGACAGUGAUGAUAGAAGGAGCCCUCUGGAGAAAGCAUGUUGGACUUGGGAAUUUGGGAGAUGAGAAAAGCCUUUACUCUCACCCUAUACCCUCUGAAGAGUCUCUUCAUUAAGAUCUUCUGGGAACCUACCACUCUGACCUCGAGAAGGCUUGAAGUAGAGUCACAUCAAAGAACAAUGCCGUGAGCACACAUCUCCCUUCACGACUCCUGGUCCAGGCCUCAAAACAAGGGAGCCAGCUGACCAUGAGUUGAAACCCCUGGAACUGUGAGCUGAAAUGAAAUUGCCCACCUUUUAAGAAUUUUAUCUCAGGUAAGCCAGGCUAGCUGACCCAGGAGCCUCCAGGGAUUCUCCAGUCUCUACUUCCUAUCUCUGUAAAACACUGAGAUUACAGAUAUCUGCUACUAUACCUGAUUUUACAGGUGUUCUGGGGGUUCAAACUCAAGUCCUCAUGCUUGAAUGGCAAUGAGUAUUGGUUAUCUCCAAAGUCCCAAAUGAAAGGAUUGCCUAUCCAAAGAAAAAUCUACAAUUAAAAGAGAAAUCUCUGAUUGUGGCAAUGAACAUUUUUAAUAAAGUAGAUGCUUGUGUGGGGUGGGACUGGAGAACUAAGGCAUGAUGAACUCAUCUAUCACUGAAGAUUUGUACUAGGGUACAGAUCCCUAUAGCAGAGUUGUCCUAGGAAAGAGACAUUCCUGGAGUCUGGAUUCUUUGGUUCAUACUACCUGACAAUGGUGGUUUGGAAACCUGGGGCCACUGGGAGCAAUAUCUGCAGCCAUAUUCCUUCUGAGGAUCAGAGAGAAUGAAGUUCAUGAGGACAGACCAGGUAGCCCAGCCAAUGCACAAAUCUCAUAGCAAACAAAUAAACUAAAAAGUGAAUAGAACAAGCUUUGAUUCCUCUCCUGGUAAUGGGCAAAGCUGGUACUGCCUACCUACAUCAAUAUCUAAGACCAAUCAGGAAAUGGCUUAUGGAUAACUCUCCAAGCCUUCCCACAGAAUCUGCACCUCAGUUGCCGUUGUCUUCCCACCCAACGGAGGAAAUUCCAAGGUUCUCUCAAAUGUUGUAG